Molecule: ribosomal RNA, 468 nt
Filed under: uncultured bacterium
Lineage: Bacteria
Description: partial 16S ribosomal RNA
Rfam family: Bacterial small subunit ribosomal RNA
Source: RNAcentral
UCCUCCCUCUUUCUUCGUGCUUAACACAUGCAAGUCGAACGGAAAGGCCCUGCUUUUGUGGGGUGCUCGAGUGGCGAACGGGUGAGUAACACGUGAGUAACCUGCCCUUGACUUUGGGAUAACUUCAGGAAACUGGGGCUAAUACCGGAUAGGAGCUCCUGCUGCAUGGUGGGGGUUGGAAAGUUUCGGCGGUUGGGGAUGGACUAGCGGCUUAUCAGCUUGUUGGUGGGGUAGUGGCUUACCAAGGCUUUGACGGGUAGCCGGCCUGAGAGGGUGACCGGCCACAUUGGGACUGAGAUACGGCCCAGACUCCUACGGGAGGCAGCAGUGGGGAAUAUUGCACAAUGGGCGGAAGCCUGAUGCAGCAACGCCGCGUGCGGGAUGACGGCCUUCGGGUUGUAAACCGCUUUCGCCUGUGACGAAGCGUGAGUGACGGUAAUGGGUAAAGAAGCACCGGCUAACUACGUG